Molecule: ribosomal RNA, 1153 nt
Filed under: metagenome
Description: SSU rRNA
Rfam family: Eukaryotic small subunit ribosomal RNA
Source: RNAcentral
AUUAAAGUUGUUGCAGUUAAAAAACUCGUAGUUGGAUCUCGGGUCCAGGCUCGCGGUUCGCCUCGCGGCGAUCACUGCCCGUCCUGACCUACCUCCCGGUUUUCCCUUGGUGCUCUUCGUUGAGUGCUUCGGGUGGCCGGAACGUUUACUUUGGAAAAAUUAGAGUGCUCAAAGCAGGCGGACUGCCUGAAUAAUCGCGCAUGGAAUAAUGGAAUAGGACCUCGGUUCUAUUUUGUUGGUUUUCGGAACUCGAGGUAAUGAUUAAGAGGGACAGACGGGGGCAUUCGUAUUACGGUGUUAGAGGUGAAAUUCUUGGAUCGCCGUAAGACGAACUACUGCGAAAGCAUUUGCCAAGAAUGUUUUCAUUAAUCAAGAACGAAAGUCAGAGGUUCGAAGACGAUCAGAUACCGUCGUAGUUCUGACCAUAAACGAUGCCAACUGGCGAUCCGCGGGCGUUGAUCUAAUGACCCCGCGGGCAGCCUCCGGGAAACCAAAGUUUUUGGGUUCCGGGGGAAGUAUGGUUGCAAAGCUGAAACUUAAAGGAAUUGACGGAAGGGCACCGCCAGGAGUGGAGCCUGCGGCUUAAUUUGACCCAACACGGGAAAACUCACCCGGCCCGGACACCGUAAGGAUUGACAGAUUGAGAGCUCUUUCUUGAUUCGGUGGGUGGUGGUGCAUGGCCGUUCUUAGUUGGUGGAGCGAUUUGUCUGGUUAAUUCCGAUAACGAACGAGACUCUAGCCUGCUAAAUAGUUCACCGAUUCACCGAGUCGGUGUUAACUUCUUAGAGGGACAAGUGGCGUUUAGCCACACGAGAUUGGGCAAUAACAGGUCUGUGAUGCCCUUAGAUGUUCGGGGCCGCACGCGCGCUACACUGAAGGAAUCAGCGUGUGUUCUCCCUGAUCCGAAAGGACCGGGUAACCCGUUGAACCUCCUUCGUGCUAGGGAUUGUGGCUUGCAAUUGUUCCACAUGAACGAGGAAUUCCCAGUAAGCGCGAGUCAUAAGCUCGCGUUGAUUACGUCCCUGCCCUUUGUACACACCGCCCGUCGCUACUACCGAUUGGAUGGUUUAGUGAGAUCCUCGGAUUGGACCCGGCGCGGCGGGCAACCGUCGUGCCGGUGUUCCGAAAAGACGAUCAAACUUGAUCAUCUAGA